Molecule: transfer RNA, 88 nt
Filed under: Lachnospiraceae bacterium
Lineage: Bacteria; Bacillati; Bacillota; Clostridia; Lachnospirales; Lachnospiraceae
Description: tRNA-Ser
Rfam family: tRNA
About the family: Transfer RNA (tRNA) molecules are approximately 80 nucleotides in length.
Source: RNAcentral
GGAGACUUACCCAAGAGGCUGAAGGGUCUGGAUUCGAAAUCCAGUAGGUCGGUACGCCGGCGCAAGGGUUCAAAUCCCUUAGUCUCCG